GACGUAGGGCGCGAGCGUUGUCCGGAUUUAUUGGGCGUAAAGAGCUCGUAGGCGGCUUGUCGCGUCGACUGUGAAAACCCGGGGCUCAACUCCGGGCUUGCAUUCGAUACGGGCAGGCUAGAGUUCGGUAGGGGAGUCUGGAAUUCCUGGUGUAGCGGUGAAAUGCGCAGAUAUCAGGAGGAACACCGGUGGCGAAGGCGGGACUCUGGGCCGAUACUGACGCUGAGGAGCGAAAGCGUGGGGAGCGAACAGG
This 253-nucleotide ribosomal RNA is filed under the name uncultured bacterium. Its description in RNAcentral is "partial 16S ribosomal RNA". It matches the Rfam family "Bacterial small subunit ribosomal RNA", at positions 524 to 776 of the family's 1533-position model. The record is from RNAcentral.